This 301-nucleotide ribosomal RNA is filed under the name uncultured bacterium. RNAcentral describes it as "partial 16S ribosomal RNA". It matches the Rfam family "Bacterial small subunit ribosomal RNA", at positions 509 to 808 of the family's 1533-position model. The record is from RNAcentral.
CAGUAGCCACGGUAAAACGGAGGUCCCGAGCGUUGUCCGGAUUUAUUGGGCGUAAAGCGAGCGCAGGCGGUUAGAUAAGUCUGAAGUUAAAGGCUGUGGCUUAACCAUAGUAUGCUUUGGAAACUGUUUAACUUGAGUGCAGAAGGGGAGAGUGGAAUUCCAUGUGUAGCGGUGAAAUGCGUAGAUAUAUGGAGGAACACCGGUGGCGAAAACGGCUCUCCGGUCUGUAACUGACGCUGAGGCUCGAAAGCGUGGGGAGCAAACAGGAUUAGAGACCCCCGUAGUCCCUGUCUCUUAUACA